Molecule: ribosomal RNA, 671 nt
Filed under: uncultured bacterium
Lineage: Bacteria
Description: bacterial SSU rRNA
Rfam family: Bacterial small subunit ribosomal RNA
Source: RNAcentral
UCAGAUUGAACGCUGGCGGCAGGCCUAACACAUGCAAGUCGAGCGGUAACAUUUCUAAGCUUGCUUAGAAGAUGACGAGCGGCGGACGGGUGAGUAAUGCUUGGGGAUCUGCCUGAUGGCGGGGGACAACCACUGGAAACGGUGGCUAAUACCGCAUAAUACCUAUGGGUCAAAGUGUGGGACCUUCGGGCCACACGCCAUCAGAUGAACCCAAGUGAGAUUAGCUGGUUGGUAAGGUAACGGCUUACCAAGGCGACGAUCUCUAGCUGGUCUGAGAGGAUGAUCAGCCACACUGGGACUGAGACACGGCCCAGACUCCUACGGGAGGCAGCAGUGGGGAAUAUUGGACAAUGGGGGCAACCCUGAUCCAGCCAUGCCGCGUGUGUGAAGAAGGCCUUCGGGUUGUAAAGCACUUUCAGUGGUGAGGAAGGUGGUGUCGUUAAUAGCGGCAUCAAUUGACGUUAGCCACAGAAGAAGCACCGGCUAACUCCGUGCCAGCAGCCGCGGUAAUACGGAGGGUGCGAGCGUUAAUCGGAAUUACUGGGCGUAAAGCGCACGUAGGCGGUAUGUUAAGCAAGAUGUGAAAGCCCAGAGCUCAACUCUGGAAUAGCAUUUUGAACUGGCAUGCUAGAGUUUUGGAGAGGGUGGUAGAAUUUCCAGUGUAGCGGUGA